GUCGAACGAAGCACAGAUGUAGAAUUUCUUCGGAAAGGAAGCGCCUGUGACUGAGUGGCGGACGGGUGAGUAACGCGUGGGCAACCUGCCCCAUACCGGGGGACAACAGCUGGAAACGGCUGCUAAUACCGCAUACGUUUUCGGUGCCGCAUGGCGCCGAAAAGAAAACUCCGGUGGUAUGGGAUGGGCCCGCGUCUGAUUAGCUAGUUGGGAGGGUAACGGCCUACCAAGGCGACGAUCAGUAGCCGGCCUGAGAGGGCGACCGGCCACAUUGGGACUGAGACACGGCCCACACUCCUGCGGGAGGCAGCCGUGGGGAAUAUUGCCCCAUGGGGGGAACCCUGAUGCCGCGACGCCGCGUGAGCGAAGAAGUACCCCGCCCCCCAAAGCUCUAUCAGCAGGGAACCCCGUCCCCGCACAACGACUUUGAAGCCCCGGCUAACGGGCGUGCCAACAGCCGCGGUAAUACGUAGGGGGCAAGCGUUAUCCGGAUUCACUGGGCGUAAAGGGAGCGCAGGCGGCGCGGCAAGUCUGAUGUGAAAGCCCGGGGCUCAACCCCGGGUCUGCCUCCGAAACUGUCGAGCUGGAGUGUCGGAGGGGUACGCGGAAUUCCUAGUGUAGCGGUGAAAUGCGU
Molecule: ribosomal RNA, 634 nt
Filed under: uncultured bacterium
Lineage: Bacteria
Description: bacterial SSU rRNA
Rfam family: Bacterial small subunit ribosomal RNA
Source: RNAcentral